Molecule: long non-coding RNA, 935 nt
Organism: Solanum dulcamara
Lineage: Eukaryota; Viridiplantae; Streptophyta; Magnoliopsida; Solanales; Solanaceae
Exons: 4
Source: RefSeq, a predicted model, not a curated record
UCUUCUUCAACUCAGCAUCAUCCGCAUCGAAUCCCCAAAAUUCUUCUCCUCCAGCCCUUUUCUUCUUCGAAUUCAUCCAUCAUACCCAUUCUCCUCCUCCUCUUCUUCUUCUUCCUCAACUCUUUUGCUACAAAUCAACAUUCCAUCCCAUUGCCCUUGUUGGCCACCCCCUUACCUCUCUCUAGUUUUUAAAUUUCUAGAUUUUAAAAAUAUUGGUAUCAUUGUUUGAAAUGUUGUGUUCUAAUGGGUUUAAGGGUUCAGUUGGCAAACUUAUAAGUAGAAGGGUUCAAUUUUUAGGGCUACCAAAUUCCUCCCCAAUUUUUAUGGCUACCAUUUUCGAUGUCAAAUUGGCCGCUUUCACUCAUCUUUUUCUCAGUUUCUCUUCGAUAGUGUAGGGGUUGCAAAAUUGCUGAGAUGAUUUCUGCUAUUCAUAAAUGCUAAACCCUAGUGAACUUUGUCCGUCUCAGAAGUUUGAGAGGAAGCAACAAGACUCGACAUGCUUUCUCUCUUGCAACGGACGAAAGCUCGGAGUUUAGCAGAUCAGAAAAUAAGGGGUUUGCUGCUUCUUUGAAUUUGUUGGAGGAAUCAAAGAAGGUUAUAGAUUCAAAUUUCAAAGGUGGAGCAAUCUCACAUGCAGAUCUCAUCCUAUUUGUUGCACAAAGUGCAGUCAAAUCAACCUUUCUCGCUUCUGCAAUUAGCAAAUGUGGUGGUAAUGUAGAGAAGGGACCUUUGUUGUAAUCUGCAUAUGGUUCUAAUGGACAGGGACAAUGUUUUAAAACAAUCACAAAUAACGUCGAACAAAGAGGAGUUUGAUGAUUAUAUGUUUUUUUUCCGGUCAUAUGUAAAUGCAUAAAUGUACAAUAACACAUUGUGUUGUAGGAUCAUGUCUUUAAUUGACUUUUUAGUAGCAGAAUUAUGAUAUUUCAAUUUAAGAA